This 2719-nucleotide unclassified non-coding RNA is filed under the name Hevea brasiliensis (rubber tree). Lineage: Eukaryota; Viridiplantae; Streptophyta; Magnoliopsida; Malpighiales; Euphorbiaceae. The record is from RNAcentral.
AAGCAGACAAGGAAGUAAAUUCUCAGAGUCCUAAAAGAAGAAUUUAAGCAAAAAUUAAUCUACAUAAUCAAUUUCUAGGAAAUAUGUAGGGACUCACUUCAGAAGAUAUGGAUAUGAUGACAAAAUUUUUCGUUUCCAUGAAACAUUAAUAGCUUAGCAAGCACACAGCCAGUCCAAAUUGACAUUGAGUAAUAACAACAUUAUGGGUCAAGUUCCUACCUUUAAAUGUCCCUUUUCUUCUUUUGGUAUUUUAUCGCAUUAAUCCUUUCUCAUAUGAUGAAUGGUCCAAUCUAAGACACUAAAAAUAUACAACAAACUAUUUAAGCUCCUAUUUUUCUAGAUUAUGCAGGGGCUACAUACAUGUUUUGUUAUAACCUCGUGGAGACUUUUGGCCUUUUCCUUGAAUUCCACCUGUCAGUCAAAGGAUUCUAGUCAAGGUACAUUACUAUUAUGUUUAACCAUAUAGAAAUAUAAUAAUUGCCACUUUACAUAGACUUGAAUCCAAAUUACAGCAGAAAGCAAAAGUCAUCAACUCAUCAUUCUUACAGAUCUAUAUGUGUAACAACAUAAAAAAUAAUGGCAAAUAAGGAUAACAUUGGUUAAUGCAGCUCAGGCAAAUUGCUUAACCACAAAAGCUUACAACAGUGGGCCUCUCUAGCCGACCCUCGCUCACCCUUUGUUGCAAAUCCUCACAUUCUUCCUUAGAGAAAUUAUCAUCUGAUAACUUGCAAAUGGGAAUAUCUUUUGGCAUAUUAAAAACUUGUAGGAGAAUAUCUGUAUUCACUUCGCCACUUCUUGAACUUCUUUUUAUGCCCUUCACUUUGAGAAGCUGAUGAGAAUUUUUCUGUGAAUAGUCGUACGGAUCGCAUUUAAUCCUCACGAAACUUCCCAUUACUUUAUCAUCAAAAGUCUCAGGUUGCUUUGACAGCUCCUCCACUAAACUCCUCCUCAAGUAUAUAAGGUUUAUAUUUUCAGGAAUGACAGAUGCAAAACAGCUUCUUUGGACAUCUGGAAUGGCUUCUUUAUCCUGAGAUUUUCUAUCGGGGCUUGAGUUUCGCUGCCUUUUACAGGCCAUUGAGACAUUCCCACCCUUGCCUUCUGAACUAUAUCCAAAGUCAUCCUCUGAUUGCUCAAAAUUCUCAGCAAAAUGGGGUGUCAGAAGGUUAUGUAUGCUAUUCUUAUUAACUGAUUUCCUUCCUAGAAGAGAUUUCAACCAUUCAUCACAAAUAACUUUCUUCUUUUUCUCUGGAUGAAAAAGCUUGUGUUCAUUGCAGUACCUUGUAAUGAUAGCAGCAACAUCAUAUUGUGAUAAUUCUUGCUCUGUGUCUUUACCAAUGGAGGCAAGGAAGUCAAAGAGAAGUUUUGAUCCCCAUCCACUGAACUCCCUUUUCUUUGACUUAACAUUCUUAUUAAUCACAGAUUGUUUCCGUUUUUUGCUUUUCCUUUUUUGUGUUCCUUUACGCUUUUUUCUUUUGUUUAAAUCAUCAUUAUCAGAUAUAAGUUCAUUUUCACCCUCGAAUUCACUAAUACUUUCUUCACCUUCAGAAAUAUCAUUUAUGUCCAAGUAUUCGGUGUCUAUACCCUUAUUCAACAGUUUAUGGACAUGAUUGGAAGUUAAACCUUCUUUUGAUUUAAUCAUUUCCCAAUAAACUUUGAACAUGAACUCAUAUGUGCCUCGAUCAUUGAAGUCUAUCUUCCCCUCAUCAAAGUCUGGAUUCUUUAUUCCUUCAACCAACCCUGCGAGUGUUAAGCAAUGAUUGCAGAGUCCUCUUUUUCUUGUAAUGACUGCAAACUCAGCAACACCUACGCAGCGUCCACAUACAGCGUUUGCACAACAAAAGCAAUGGAAUUUUGGGGUUUUCUUGCAAAUGAAGCAAAAAUGCCACUUGCAGAUCCAAGGAACAUCACUCUCCAAGAAUGAAUCAUCUUUUUCUACACACCAGGGAUGAUAUGCUUUGAGGCAAUCCUUGUAGUCACAAACCAUCAAUAGACCUCCAUCUUUGCAAAUGAAACACCAAUCCUCAGCAAUCUCAUCCUUGUUUAUCUUCUUCGUCCUCCUCAUUUUCACCACCGAAGCUCUCCCCAAAGUGGAAUCCGAACCACCCUUUCAAAUGGUAAGAAUCGUUAAGAGACUGACUCUUUCUCUCUAAUGUUACCUAUUCAUGUUCACUUAGCUGGGAAAAACCCAUUCAUCAACGAGGAUAAAAAUAAUGACUCGAAGCUUUGAAAUUGAGUAUCAAAAUCCAAAUAGGCUCAUCCCACGAAUUAUCAGAAACCCAUUUGAGAAAAAGGCACAAAAAGCACAAUUUUACAUUCAAAGCCAUUUCCUUCGAACAUCAAAAGCCACAAUACAAUGAAAUGAGAAGCUAAACUCUCAAAUUCCAAGCAUAGUUGGCCUUAGUGGAGAGACUAACAAAGACCCAUUUAGCUAAACAGAAGAGCAGACCUUUAGGCUUCAAAAUUAAGAACUAGCAAGCAGCAUUGGUAUUUCUUUAAAGAAAAGAAGAUUGUAAGAGCAUAUAGAGAGAAGCUAGAGAAGAAUGGCAGUGCAAAGGAGAGCAAGAGAUGACAUCUGGGUGGGAGUCAGAGGGACGGGUGGAUUACUGUGGAAAUUAGUAUGAAAAAGAAAGAUCCGUCUUAAAAUUAGAGACUGAAAAUACGAUUAGAAGAUUAAUUAGGUUAUUGUGCUCUUUGUUUACUGAAGUUGGCAAAAUAUUAC